GACGAACGCUGGCGGCGUGCUUAACACAUGCCAGUCGAACGGAAAGGCCCUGCUUUUGUGGGGUGCUCGAGUGGCGAACGGGUGAGUAACACGUGAGUAACCUGCCCUUGACUUUGGGAUAACUUCAGGAAACUGGGGCUAAUACCGGAUAGGAGCUCCUGCUGCAUGGUGGGGGUUGGAAAGUUUCGGCGGUUGGGGAUGGACUCGCGGCUUAUCAGCUUGUUGGUGGGGUAGUGGCUUACCAAGGCUUUGACGGGUAGCCGGCCUGAGAGGGUGACCGGCCACAUUGGGACUGAGAUACGGCCCAGACUCCGACGGGAGGCAGCAGUGGGGAAUAUUGCACAAUGGGCGGAAGCCUGAUGCAGCAACGCCGCGUGCGGGAUGACGGCCUUCGGGUUGUAAACCGCUUUCGCCUGUGACGAAGCGUGAGUGACGGUAAUGGGUAAAGAAGCACCGGCUAACUACGUGC
RNAcentral lists this ribosomal RNA (469 nucleotides) under uncultured bacterium. RNAcentral's name for it is "partial 16S ribosomal RNA". It matches the Rfam family "Bacterial small subunit ribosomal RNA", at positions 28 to 508 of the family's 1533-position model. The record is from RNAcentral.